AUUCACAUAUGAACCUAUAAAAAGAAAAAACAAACUAAAAGUUAUUAGUAAGUAUGUAUGAGAAAUGGAUAAUAAACACAAAUAGGGGCAUAUGAUUAAAGAGAACGAGAGAUUCUCUAAAGUUAGCAAUCAAAUGUGAAACAAACGAGAGAUUAAAUAAAUGUAUGAGAAACAAUUUUUUUUUAUUUUUUAUUUUUUUGGCAAGUAAGAAUAUAUUAUUACCAAAAACGCAGGUUACAAAGUUACAACACUAAGAAGUAACCCUCCAAACUACACAAUCCCAAAAAGGCAAACAACCACCUAAAAACCACCCCUUAUUUAUUCAUCUUUGUAAAAGCAUUGUUUUGGUGAAUACUCAAGCCCAGUCUGACGUUGUUGAUUGUAGCAACCGGUAUAAUUCAAAGUACUAUGUGGUGGUUGUACAGUACACUGCAAGAUUCAAUGCUGAAACUGUCAAAAACUACCUGUACACUCUCAAUCAGGGUAAAGUUCCUAAAAAGAAAUUCAAUUGUCAGUACUCUCCUCUUGUGCUUCUCAUUUUUUAUCUUCAUUGUGUUUUAACCAAAAUAAGAUAGGCUGGAAAUGAAAUGUGUUACCAACUUACCACACAUCUCAUA
Chenopodium quinoa (quinoa) is the source of this 617-nucleotide long non-coding RNA. RefSeq lists it as uncharacterized. Lineage: Eukaryota; Viridiplantae; Streptophyta; Magnoliopsida; Caryophyllales; Amaranthaceae. The record is from RefSeq and is a predicted model, not a curated record. The transcript is spliced from 3 exons.